This 483-nucleotide ribosomal RNA is filed under the name uncultured bacterium. Its description in RNAcentral is "partial 16S ribosomal RNA". It matches the Rfam family "Bacterial small subunit ribosomal RNA", at positions 28 to 523 of the family's 1533-position model. The record is from RNAcentral.
GACGAACGCUGGCGGCGUGCUUAACACAUGCAAGUCGAACGGUAAGGCCCCUUCGGGGGUACACGAGUGGCGAACGGGUGAGUAGCACGUGAGCAACCUGCCCUUGACUCUGGGAUAACAGUUGGAAACAGCUGCUAAUACCGGAUACGACCUUCGAUGACAUCAUCUGGAGGUGGAAAGCGCUUUAGCGGUCAAGGAUGGGCUCGCGGCCUAUCAGCUUGUUGGUGAGGUAGCGGCUCACCAAGGCUUCGACGGGUAGCCGGUCUGAGAGGGCGACCGGCCACACUGGGACUGAGAUACGGCCCAGACUCCUACGGGAGGCAGCAGUGGGGAAUAUUGCACAAUGGGCGCAAGCCUGAUGCAGCAACGCCGCGUGCGGGAUGACGGCCUUCGGGUUGUAAACCGCUUUCAGUUCCGACGAAGCGCAAGUGACGGUAGGAACAGAAGAAGGACCGGCCAACUACGUGCCAGCCGCCGCCGUAA